AGCAGUCGCCGCGGGAAAACGUAGGUGGCAAGCGUUGUCCGGAAUUAUUGGGCGUAAAGGGCUCGCAGACUGUUUCUUAAGUCUGAUGCGAAAGCCCCCGGCUCAACCGGGGAGGGUCAUUGGAAACUGGGAAACUUGAGUGCAGAAGAGGAGAGUGGAAUUCCACGUGUAGCGGUGAAAUGCGUAGAGAUGUGGAGGAACACCAGUGGCGAAGGCGACUCUCUGGUCUGUAACUGACGCUGAGGAGCGAAAGCGUGGGGAGCGAACAGGAUUAGAUACCCCGGUAGUCCCUGUCUCUUAUAC
This 303-nucleotide ribosomal RNA is filed under the name uncultured bacterium. RNAcentral's name for it is "partial 16S ribosomal RNA". It matches the Rfam family "Bacterial small subunit ribosomal RNA", at positions 507 to 807 of the family's 1533-position model. The record is from RNAcentral.